CCGAAGCGUGUUUGUACACAAAGAACUGCUAAUUCCUUGCCCCGACGUUAAACUCCUCGGACGCC
This 65-nucleotide transfer RNA is filed under the name Sphenomorphus striolatus. Its description in RNAcentral is "tRNA-Ser". Lineage: Eukaryota; Metazoa; Chordata; Lepidosauria; Squamata; Scincidae. The record is from RNAcentral.